GAUGAACGCUGGCAGCGUGCCUAAUACAUGCAAGUCGAGCGAACGGACGAGAAGCUUGCUUCUCUGAUGUUAGCGGCGGACGGGUGAGUAACACGUGGAUAACCUACCUAUAAGACUGGGAUAACUUCGGGAAACCGUAGCUAAUACCGGAUAAUAUUUUGAACCGCAUGGUUCAAAAGUGAAAGACGGUCUUGCUGUCACUUAUAGAUGGAUCCGCGCUGCAUUAGCUAGUUGGUAAGGUAACGGCUUACCAAGGCAACGAUGCAUAGCCGACCUGAGAGGGUGAUCGGCCACACUGGAACUGAGACACGGUCCAGACUCCUACGGGAGGCAGCAGUAGGGAAUCUUCCGCAAUGGGCGAAAGCCUGACGGAGCAACGCCGCGUGAGUGAUGAAGGUCUUCGGAUCGUAAAACUCUGUUAUUAGGGAAGAACAUAUGUGUAAGUAACUGUGCACAUCUUGACGGUACCUAAUCAGAAAGCCACGGCUAACUACAUG
RNAcentral lists this ribosomal RNA (497 nucleotides) under uncultured bacterium. RNAcentral describes it as "partial 16S ribosomal RNA". It matches the Rfam family "Bacterial small subunit ribosomal RNA", at positions 28 to 507 of the family's 1533-position model. The record is from RNAcentral.